This 484-nucleotide ribosomal RNA is filed under the name uncultured bacterium. Its description in RNAcentral is "partial 16S ribosomal RNA". It matches the Rfam family "Bacterial small subunit ribosomal RNA", at positions 30 to 507 of the family's 1533-position model. The record is from RNAcentral.
AUUGAACGCUGGCGGCAGGCCUAACACAUGCAAGUCGAGCGGGUGAAGGGGGCUUGCUCCUGGAUUCAGCGGCGGACGGGUGAGUAAUGCCUAGGAAUCUGCCUGGUAGUGGGGGAUAACGUCCGGAAACGGGCGCUAAUACCGCAUACGUCCUGAGGGAGAAAGUGGGGGAUCUUCGGACCUCACGCUAUCAGAUGAGCCUAGGUCGGAUUAGCUAGUUGGUGGGGUAAAGGCCUACCAAGGCGACGAUCCGUAACUGGUCUGAGAGGAUGAUCAGUCACACUGGAACUGAGACACGGUCCAGACUCCUACGGGAGGCAGCAGUGGGGAAUAUUGGACAAUGGGCGAAAGCCUGAUCCAGCCAUGCCGCGUGUGUGAAGAAGGUCUUCGGAUUGUAAAGCACUUUUAGUUGGGAGGAAGGGCAGUAAGUUAAUACCUUGCUGUUUUGACGUUACCAACAGAAUAAGCACCGGCUAACUUCGUG